RNAcentral lists this ribosomal RNA (361 nucleotides) under Austropurcellia scoparia. RNAcentral describes it as "partial 12S ribosomal RNA". The record is from RNAcentral. Lineage: Eukaryota; Metazoa; Arthropoda; Arachnida; Opiliones; Pettalidae.
UAAACUAGGAUNAGAUACCCUUCUAUUCNNUNUUACAAGAUAUUAACAACUUUAAGUUAACAAAACUGGCGGUUCUUCUACUUAUUAGAGAAGUUUGUUUCAUUAUGGAUACAACGCCCUUAGAUUUACUAUGAUUAAAAGCUUUUAUACCGCUGUUGUCAAGAUAUUUAAGAUUAGAUAUCUGACCUGUUUAAAAACAAUACUUCAAGUCCAGGUGAAGCUUGAUAUAUUAUAGAGAAAAUGAACUUCAAUAGAUAUUUCUAUUACGGAAUGAAUAUUUAAAAUUUCAAGAAGGUGAAUUUAAAAGUAAAUUUUUAUAAAAACAUGAAUAUUUUUCAGAAGAAUGUACAUAUCGCCCGUC